This 520-nucleotide ribosomal RNA is filed under the name uncultured bacterium. RNAcentral's name for it is "bacterial SSU rRNA". It matches the Rfam family "Bacterial small subunit ribosomal RNA", at positions 791 to 1308 of the family's 1533-position model. The record is from RNAcentral.
UAGUCCACGCCGUAAACGAUGUCAACUAGCCGUCGGGCUCAUUUAAGGGUUUGGUGGCGCAGCUAACGCGCUAAGUUGACCGCCUGGGGAGUACGCCGGCAACGGUAAAACUCAAAGGAAUUGACGGGGCCCGCACAAGCGGUGGAGCAUGUGGUUUAAUUCGAUGAUACGCGAGGAACCUUACCUAGGCUCUAAUGCGAGCGCUAUCUGGUGAAAGCCGGAGUUCCUUCGGGACGCGAAGCAAGGUGCUGCAUGGUUGUCGUCAGCUCGUGCCGUGAGGUGUUGGGUUAAGUCCCGCAACGAGCGCAACCCUUAUCCUUAGUUGCCAGCGGGUAGAGCCGGGGGACUCUGAGGAGACUGCCACCGUAAGGUGUGAGGAAGGUGGGGAUGACGUCAAAUCAGCACGGGCCCUUAUGUCCAGGGGCUACACACGUGUUACAAUGGGACGGUACAAAGGGGCAGCUACCUGGUGACAGGAUGCUAAUCUCUAAAGCCGUUCUCAGUUCGGAUCGAAGUCUGC